This 396-nucleotide ribosomal RNA is filed under the name uncultured bacterium. Its description in RNAcentral is "partial 16S ribosomal RNA". It matches the Rfam family "Bacterial small subunit ribosomal RNA", at positions 338 to 731 of the family's 1533-position model. The record is from RNAcentral.
CCUACGGGUGGCAGCAGUGAGGAAUAUUGGUCAAUGGGCGUAAGCCUGAACCAGCCAAGUCGCGUGAGGGAUGAAGGUUCCAUGGAUCGUAAACCUCUUUUAUCAGGGGAUAAAAUGCGGGACGUGUCCCUGUUUGUAUGUACCUUAUGAAUAAGCAUCGGCUAACUCCGUGCCAGCAGCCGCGGUAAUACGGAGGAUCCGAGCGUUAUCCGGAUUUAUUGGGUUUAAAGGGUGCGUAGGCGGCCCUUUAAGUCAGCGGUGAAAGUCUGUGGCUCAACCAUAGGAUUGCCGUUGAAACUGGGUGGCUUGAGAAUGUUUGAGGCAGGCGGAAUGCGCGGUGUAGCGGUGAAAUGCUUAGAUAUCACGCAGAACCCCGAUUGCGAAGGCAGCAUACCA